GAUGAAGAACGUAGCGAAAUGCGAUAAGUAAUGUGAAUUGCAGAAUUCAGUGAAUCAUCGAAUCUUUGAACGCACAUUGCGCUCCCUGGUAUUCCGGGGAGCAUGCCUGUUCGAGCGUCAUUACAACCCUCAAGCUCUGCUUGGUGUUGGGCCCCGCCGCCCCGGCGGGCCCUAAAGUCAGUGGCGGUGCCGUCCGGCUCCGAGCGUAGUAAUUUCUCUCGCUUUGGAGGCCCGGGUGCGUGCUUGCCAUCAACCCCCAAUUUUUUUCAGGUUGACCUCGGAUCAGGUAGGGAUACCCGCUGAACUUAAGCAUAUCAAAAGCGGAGGA
RNAcentral lists this unclassified non-coding RNA (328 nucleotides) under soil metagenome. RNAcentral describes it as "partial contains 5.8S ribosomal RNA, internal transcribed spacer 2, and large subunit ribosomal RNA". The stretch from base 1 to 120 matches the Rfam family "5.8S ribosomal RNA", at positions 35 to 154 of the family's 154-position model. The record is from RNAcentral.